GAUACUUCUAGUUUGAAGUUAAUUAUUUUGAUGGCAGGAUAGGGUUUAUUCAUAAGUUGUUUCAGGCUUGGACAAGGAAAGAUAUUUUUAAUAUUCUUCGAGGAUAAAAUCUGUAUGACAAAUUAUGCAGGCAACUAUUAUAUAGAAAGAAAGUAUAUUUGAGAAAUGAGAUCUAAGAGUUUCCCCUUUGUUUACUUGGAAUGUGACAUAUUAGAUCUUUUCAAAUUACAAUGCAAGAUUGGUAUUUUGAUUGGAAGUCAUUUAGUAAAUUCUGGGAUAAUUUCCAAUCUUGAAGAAUAUUUUUGGCUCAUUUUAUAUGAAUG
This 323-nucleotide long non-coding RNA is filed under the name Phoenix dactylifera (date palm). RNAcentral describes it as "long non-coding RNA (PDAC_LNC000269)". The record is from RNAcentral. Lineage: Eukaryota; Viridiplantae; Streptophyta; Magnoliopsida; Arecales; Arecaceae.